CCUACGGGAGGCAGCAGUGGGGAAUUUUGGACAAUGGGCGCAAGCCUGAUCCAGCAAUGCCGCGUGAGUGAUGAAGGCCUUAGGGUUGUAAAGCUCUUUUACCAGGGAUGAUAAUGACAGUACCUGGAGAAUAAGCUCCGGCUAACUCCGUGCCAGCAGCCGCGGUAAU
Molecule: ribosomal RNA, 169 nt
Filed under: uncultured bacterium
Lineage: Bacteria
Description: partial 16S ribosomal RNA
Rfam family: Bacterial small subunit ribosomal RNA
Source: RNAcentral